GCUUGGAAUGAGCAAUCAAUGCUACUGCUUAAAAAGAGGAUGACUGGGAGCCCGCCUCCAGACUUGGGGAGGAUCUGCAGGGCUGCGGUGGCUCGAAUUCAGACCUGGAGAAUUGGGAUUCAGCCUGAAGAUAAGCAGAGGUUUAUAAAGUGAUAACUUCAUGGAGUCGAUGGGUACAGGUUGGAUCACUGGAUGUAGAAGAUCUGAUCCUGAAUUGACUUCUCCGUGGCUACACAUGAAGUAAGCAGCUGAGGUUUGGGCAGUAUUGGGAAGGAGAGAAAAUUAAAUGAUUUUGUUAACCAAAAAUGAAGUGGCAGUGCUUGACAAGAUGACAAGAUGAUCUCAAAGGUAAGUUUUCAUUUUAUAUAAUGAUUUCUCCAUAUUUCGUAAAGUUACAAUGAUCCAAAAAGUUUUGAUUAUUUGAACAUUCUUACGUUUACUUGUCUUCAUAUUAAUAUAACAUUUCUCCCAAUCCUAGUAUAUAUAAGCAACUUUACUUAUUCUUCACAUCAUAAGCCACCUAAGCAAUAUCAGAUUCCAUUAUUUAAAGACAAUGAAAUUUAAAAAGAUAACGCGGGAAUAAGAGAAAACAUUGUUUAAGUGUUAAAUGAAUAGCACUUAAAGUGCUAUUCGUUUUAUAGAAAUGAAAUAGGACAAUGAGUUCUUGCCCCACUUUGGCCACUCGAUCAUUGCAUGUUUUCAAUUAGCAUUCAUUUUCCUGAGCUUCAUUUUAUAAUCUGGGAAUGAGGAGGUUGCACUAGCCUUUCAGGACGCUUUUCCGCUAGAAAAAUAAAGCUUCUGUGAAUCCUAGCUCAGAUGCCGACUGAACAAGGCAGGUGGUGGCACCUGGAGUAAGGAAGCAAAUGGAAGAAUCAGAGGCAGGAGAACCCUGAAGCCGAGGGGUUUCCGACCAGACCCUCUCUUAAGGAGUCUUCUAGCUUUCUCCUCUCUUGCCUUUGAUUCCUGGAAUAAGGAAGUGGUCACAUGUGACCACAAGACAUUUGUUGGUUGUGUGGCUGAAAAACCUCUGUAUUCCUCAGGUUUCUCAAGGACAAAAUGAGAAUAAUAAAAGUCUCAGAGCUGUGGUGAGGAGAAAAUGAGUGAAAUACUCUGCAAGGAGCAAUCUCCCGAUUGCUAAUGAUAUUAAUAAUUAUUUACAUUAUAAAACAUAUCAAAGAUUCACAUUUUAAUAGGAUGCAAAGAACAUGAAUCUAUUCUAAAUUAUCCUAGUAUGGGUAGCUAGGGAAAUUUAAUGAGUAGGAAGUGACCCGUCCUGAGACGGAGAUGGUGGCAGCUGGAUGAAAAUAUUGGAGAGGGGAGAAACAAGGCAGAAAGACCAGGUAAGGAGACAGUGCCAUCAGCCACAGGAGAGAAGGAAAGAGGUGGUGGUUACGUGAGAGAGGAAGGAGGGAUGAAAGGGGAGGGGGGGAGAG
Antechinus flavipes (yellow-footed antechinus) is the source of this 1433-nucleotide long non-coding RNA. RefSeq lists it as uncharacterized. The transcript has 3 exons. NCBI's taxonomy places the organism in Eukaryota, Metazoa, Chordata, Mammalia, Dasyuromorphia, Dasyuridae. The record is from RefSeq and is a predicted model, not a curated record.